Non-coding RNA from Python bivittatus (Burmese python), 451 nucleotides. The record is from the annotation of a RefSeq genome assembly. Lineage: Eukaryota; Metazoa; Chordata; Lepidosauria; Squamata; Pythonidae.
GCUUCCCAUCUCACACAGACAGGCAGGUUCACCUCACAGAGGCCCUCAGAGAUCCAGCCAUUUCUCCACAAUGGGGUCCUUCUUCCCAGUACUCCUGAUGCUGGCUGUCUUCUUUUCCCGAGGCCUCUCACAAAUAGUCCUGACCCAGUCAGAUCCAGCACUGAAGAAACCAGGAGAAGCCCAUAAACUGACUUGUGCUGUGACUGGAUUCGAUGUCAACAGCUACGCUAUGGAUUGGGUCAGGCAGAAACCUGGGGAAGGCCUGGAAUGGCUUGUAUACUAUUACAGCUCUGGUAGCAACUAUUAUUCCCCAACCAUCCAAGGACGAUUUACUGCCUCCAAAGACAGUUCCAACUUCUAUCUGCAAAUGAACAACCUCAAGCCAGAGGACACAGCAGUCUAUUACUGUGCAAAAGACACAGAUAACACUCAGAGAAUGGUGACAGGCUAA